Molecule: ribosomal RNA, 878 nt
Filed under: Enterococcus faecium
Lineage: Bacteria; Bacillati; Bacillota; Bacilli; Lactobacillales; Enterococcaceae
Description: bacterial SSU rRNA
Rfam family: Bacterial small subunit ribosomal RNA
Source: RNAcentral
UGCAGUCGAACGCUUCUUUUUCCACCGGAGCUUGCUCCACCGGAAAAAGAGGAGUGGCGAACGGGUGAGUAACACGUGGGUAACCUGCCCAUCAGAAGGGGAUAACACUUGGAAACAGGUGCUAAUACCGUAUAACAAUCGAAACCGCAUGGUUUUGAUUUGAAAGGCGCUUUCGGGUGUCGCUGAUGGAUGGACCCGCGGUGCAUUAGCUAGUUGGUGAGGUAACGGCUCACCAAGGCCACGAUGCAUAGCCGACCUGAGAGGGUGAUCGGCCACAUUGGGACUGAGACACGGCCCAAACUCCUACGGGAGGCAGCAGUAGGGAAUCUUCGGCAAUGGACGAAAGUCUGACCGAGCAACGCCGCGUGAGUGAAGAAGGUUUUCGGAUCGUAAAACUCUGUUGUUAGAGAAGAACAAGGAUGAGAGUAACUGUUCAUCCCUUGACGGUAUCUAACCAGAAAGCCACGGCUAACUACGUGCCAGCAGCCGCGGUAAUACGUAGGUGGCAAGCGUUGUCCGGAUUUAUUGGGCGUAAAGCGAGCGCAGGCGGUUUCUUAAGUCUGAUGUGAAAGCCCCCGGCUCAACCGGGGAGGGUCAUUGGAAACUGGGAGACUUGAGUGCAGAAGAGGAGAGUGGAAUUCCAUGUGUAGCGGUGAAAUGCGUAGAUAUAUGGAGGAACACCAGUGGCGAAGGCGGCUCUCUGGUCUGUAACUGACGCUGAGGCUCGAAAGCGUGGGGAGCAAACAGGAUUAGAUACCCUGGUAGUCCACGCCGUAAACGAUGAGUGCUAAGUGUUGGAGGGUUUCCGCCCUUCAGUGCUGCAGCUAACGCAUUAAGCACUCCGCCUGGGGAGUACGACCGCAAGGUUGAAACUCAGA